GAUGAACGCUGGCGGCGUGCCUAAUACAUGCCAGUCGAGCGAACAGACGAGGAGCUUGCUCCUCUGACGUUAGCGGCGGACGGGUGAGUAACACGUGGAUAACCUACCUAUAAGACUGGGAUAACUUCGGGAAACCGGAGCUAAUACCGGAUAAUAUAUUGAACCGCAUGGUUCAAUAGUGAAAGACGGUUUUGCUGUCACUUAUAGAUGGAUCCGCGCCGCAUUAGCUAGUUGGUAAGGUAACGGCUUACCAAGGCAACGAUGCGUAGCCGACCUGAGAGGGUGAUCGGCCACACUGGAACUGAGACACGGUCCAGACUCCUACGGGAGGCAGCAGUAGGGAAUCUUCCGCAAUGGGCGAAAGCUUGACGGAGCAGCGCCGCGUGAGUGAUGAAGGUCUUCGGAUCGUAAAACUCUGUUAUUAGGGAAGAACAAAUGUGUAAGUAACUAUGCACGUCUUGACGGUACCUAAUCAGAAAGCCACGGCUAACUACGUG
This 497-nucleotide ribosomal RNA is filed under the name uncultured bacterium. RNAcentral describes it as "partial 16S ribosomal RNA". It matches the Rfam family "Bacterial small subunit ribosomal RNA", at positions 28 to 507 of the family's 1533-position model. The record is from RNAcentral.